CUGCUUUCUUAUGUAAUACACACAAAUAAGGAAAAUACAAAGAAAAUAAAAACUACCGACUGAUUACAAUACCAAGAGAAAACAACCAUUGACAGUGGAGCAUUUUCAUUUUAAGACGCAGAAUACACGUACUAAGGGCACUAAUAUUAAAUAUGUAAAAUACUGCCUUUUAACCUGCUUUUCUCACUUAAUAUUUCUAAACAUUGUUAGUGACUUCCCACACAUUUUUUGGUUUUAGUUGUUUUGGUUUAUUUUUUUUCCAAUUCUUAUUAUAAGAAUACAGAGAAGUAUGUACAAAACAUGGACCCUACCUUUAGGCUCCUUAUUCAACA
This 332-nucleotide long non-coding RNA is filed under the name Homo sapiens (human). RNAcentral's name for it is "HSALNT0040208". Lineage: Eukaryota; Metazoa; Chordata; Mammalia; Primates; Hominidae. The record is from RNAcentral.